GAGCUGUGUACCUGUGGACUCUGCCCAUGUUCCAUUGUAAUGGUUGGUGUUACACUUGGGCAAUGGCUGCGAUGUGUGGAACCAACAUAUGUCUUCGCCAGGUGAGUUCAAAGGCGAUAUACUCUGGCAUAGUGAACCAUGGAGUGACACACAUGUGCGCCGCGCCGGUCGUCUUCAACAACCUCAUCAACGCUCCGGCGAGCGAGACCUUC
This 212-nucleotide unclassified non-coding RNA is filed under the name Hevea brasiliensis (rubber tree). Lineage: Eukaryota; Viridiplantae; Streptophyta; Magnoliopsida; Malpighiales; Euphorbiaceae. The record is from RNAcentral.